RNAcentral lists this long non-coding RNA (231 nucleotides) under Elaeis guineensis (African oil palm). RNAcentral describes it as "long non-coding RNA (EGUI_LNC030169)". The record is from RNAcentral. Lineage: Eukaryota; Viridiplantae; Streptophyta; Magnoliopsida; Arecales; Arecaceae.
CCGAGAGAUUGAGUUUUUAGCAGAAAUGUUUGACUCCCAGUUACAGAAGGAUUUACUGAUGCUCAAACAGCAAAACCUUCACCUUGUCUUCUAUGCAAGGUCCUAAAUACAAUAAGAUAGAGGUAUCCUAGUUUUCCCCUGGAACAGGAUGCCUCAUUUCCCAACAGUUAGCAUGGUUGUUGUCGUCUCCCAUUCUGGUCCACCAACCAAACCAUCUGUCCACUCAGGAUG